AAAGCGUAAGUAAGAAAGAUAAAUCCUAUCGACUUUUAAGCUCAUCGAAAUAUUAGCAUGUUAGAAGAGAAAAGGCGAUACACAAUUUUUCAAGAAGAAGAAUUAAUAACAGAAGCUGGGAAAUGCGCAAUUUUUUUGCUUAAUUUUGGCGUUUCAACAAGUAAGGCGAAUUUUUUAACUAAAACUUUCUUCAAUGCAGAUUAACAACUCGAGAAAGAAUCGUAAAUGUGUGCAUUGAUAAUUUCUUCGGAGAUUGCACCGUUGCCUGCGAAUAUAAUCCGUGCUAAAUUUUUAUGAAGAUGUCUUUGAAAAUACACAAGUGUUCUAUACAGAAAUUGAUUUCGAUUGGCCUUUUGGGUCGUGAUUAAUUUUUUAGCCGUUCUAUAAAAUAUAAUUUUGUUUGGCAUGCUUGGCUUAAUAAACACUUCUAUUAUUGGUGUCGCACAACAAAACUUUUACAGGACCUUACGGUGGAUGAUGAAGCCUCACAGCUAAGCUCGCUGUUUUAAGAUUCCAAUUUAAUGGAGAAUGGUGUGGUAAUGAACACCAAAAUUCUCACGAAUCUCCUGAAGAACCGAAAAAAAUGAUUGAAGAAAGUUUACUAAAAACGACUGGACAUUGCUGGCCGGAUAUCACAAGUUAUCUGUUUAAGUUGCAGCUGUUUGGUGGUUAUACGCUUAAUCAUUUCUUUGCUUUAUCACCUAUGACAUCGAGAUGAAACAUUACCCGAUGAUUGUGUGAUAAAGGUUUUGAGGCGCUAUUCCAACUGCAUUUAAUAAAGUCCAAUGGAAGACUGUUUCUUUAUUUAUUAAUAUUAAG
Molecule: long non-coding RNA, 819 nt
Organism: Bactrocera neohumeralis
Lineage: Eukaryota; Metazoa; Arthropoda; Insecta; Diptera; Tephritidae
Exons: 3
Source: RefSeq, a predicted model, not a curated record